Molecule: ribosomal RNA, 411 nt
Filed under: uncultured archaeon
Lineage: Archaea
Description: bacterial SSU rRNA
Rfam family: Archaeal small subunit ribosomal RNA
Source: RNAcentral
CAGCAGCCGCGGUAAUACCAGCUCUCCGAGUUGUGGGGAUGUUUAUUGGGCCUAAAGCAUCCGUAGCCGGCUGGACAAGUCCUCUGUUAAAUCCAGCGACUAAUCGUUGGUCUGCGGGGGAUACUGUCCGGCUAGGGGGCGGGAGAGGCCGUCGGUAUUCUUGGGGUAGGGGUGAAAUCCUGUAAUCCCAGGAGGACCACCAGUGGCGAAGGCUGUCGGCUAGAACGCGCCCGACGGUGAGGGAUGAAAGCUGGGGGAGCGAACCGGAUUAGAUACCCGGGUAGUCCCAGCUGUAAACGAUGCAGGCUAGGUGUUAGGGCGGCUACGUGCCGCUCUAGUGCCGCAGGGAAGCUGUUAAGCCUGCCGCCUGGGGAGUACGGCCGCAAGGCUGAAACUCAAAGGAAUUGACGG